Molecule: long non-coding RNA, 1326 nt
Organism: Carassius auratus (goldfish)
Lineage: Eukaryota; Metazoa; Chordata; Actinopteri; Cypriniformes; Cyprinidae
Source: Ensembl
AUGGUGAAUUACUGCUUUAAUAAUCGUAUGUUAAUUAGGUUAGAUGUGAAUUACGUGAAUGUUGAUCUUCAGAUUAUUGUGGACAAGCCUGAGUGGGAUCAGGAAGCUGUCAGCAGGAGGCUCCGAUUCUUCAGUCGUCAACAGAAUUCAAGCAAACUGCUCCAGACCUCACGUGUUUCCGGCAGCAGAGAAAUUUGCGUCGCUGCAAGGAUCUGCUCUCUGUUCAGACCAAUGUGUCCAUUACCAAGGCCAAACCACGGCAUCAUAAGAGGUCACGAUCUGUGGUAGGCCGCCCAUUGCUGGCUGGCAAUCUUCUUCGAAAAGGAAGCUUUGCUUGAACAGCACAUUAUCUCAGCAGCUUUAUCCACUCGACCUUAGUGUGAAGCAGAAGGACAAACUUCUUGUAGAUGGCAAGAUUUCAAGAUUUAAUGCAGAUUUGAAGCAGAUCUCAGAGGUCGACUAAUGUCCGGGGGAAAUCGAACAAGCAGGAAGUGUCUGAUGGCAUAGACAGAACACGGCGGGUGCUGAAGUUUGAUGACACCCCUAAAACUGUUGCUGUGGAAACUGCGGAACAGAGGAAAAGCCCUCAGCAGAAGCACAAAUGUGGAGAGAUUCGUGAAGCUCAGAAUGGUUUGCAGGAAGAGAUUUCUGAGGAUUCGGAAGGGUUCAGGACACCCACAGAUCUGUUCAGCGUGAAGCCCAAGAUUAAACGAGGGAACCAGAAGAAAGUCUCUGCCUCUGGUGUUACAAAACCUGCUGUACAGAAGCCCAACUUCAUAUCCAUGUUAGCCACACUGGUGAAGAAUCAGAACCAGAUUAUUGAGGAAUCCUGCAAAUGAGUCUCUGUCGAAGUUUUGUAAUUAGUUCUUUAAGUCAUCUUGUUUUACUCAAGUCGCUGCUAUCAAGUUUGGCUAAUUCUGUUAAUAGAUAUAAUAUUUGACAAAAGUCUGCUGAUGUUUAUUUAUUGUUGCAUUUGUUUAUGUUUUAACAUUUGCAUUUGCAUUAAUAAAUACAACUUGUUCUAAAUGAUCUGUUUGUGUAUGCUGUUUAUUCCACAGUGUCUUGAACUGCAGUUACUGUAAUAACCACAGAGAGGAGCUGUUUCCAAACAAACUUGCAUAUCUUCACUCCUGUAUUUUUAAAUAUUACAAUAUAUGGCCUUAAAAAAAACAUUGUCUCACACUUUUAUCAAAUUGACUUAACAUGAUGUUUUAGACAUCUGUAAUUCUGUACAUAAUGCAUGACUUCGUGUUUUUCAGUGGAUCGAGGAAAAUGGUUUUUAAACUUUAUUUAAAUAGAUACAUAUAGAGUCAGCAAUACAUAAAC